Molecule: ribosomal RNA, 808 nt
Filed under: uncultured Pseudomonadota bacterium
Lineage: Bacteria; Pseudomonadati; Pseudomonadota
Description: bacterial SSU rRNA
Rfam family: Bacterial small subunit ribosomal RNA
Source: RNAcentral
CGUUGUUCGGAAUUACUGGGCGUAAAGCGCGCGUAGGCGGCUUUGUAAGUUAGAGGUGAAAGCCCGGAGCUCAACUCCGGAAUUGCCUUUAAGACUGCAUCGCUAGAAUCAUGGAGAGGUGAGUGGAAUUCCGAGUGUAGAGGUGAAAUUCGUAGAUAUUCGGAAGAACACCAGUGGCGAAGGCGACUCACUGGACAUGUAUUGACGCUGAGGUGCGAAAGCGUGGGGAGCAAACAGGAUUAGAUACCCUGGUAGUCCACGCCGUAAACGAUGAUGACUAGCUGUCGGGGCUCUUGGAGUUUCGGUGGCGCAAGCUAACGCGUUAAGUCAUCCGCCUGGGGAGUACGGCCGCAAGGUUAAAACUCAAAGAAAUUGACGGGGGCCUGCACAAGCGGUGGAGCAUGUGGUUUACUUCGAAGCAACGCGCAGAACCUUACCAGCGUUUGACAUGGUAGGACGGCUUCCAGAGAUGGAUUCCUUCCCUUACGGGACCUACACACAGGUGCUGCAUGGGCUGUCGUCAGCUCGUGUCGUGAGAUGUUGGGUUAAGUCCCGCAACGAGCGCAACCCUCGUCUCUAGUUGCUACCAUUUAGUUGAGCACUCUAGAGAAACUGCCGGUGAUAAGCCGGAGGAAGGUGGGGAUGACGUCAAGUCCUCAUGGCCCUUACACGCUGGGCUACACACGUGCUACAAUGGCGGUGACAGUGGGCAGCAAACUCGCGAGAGUGAGCAAAUCCCCAAAAACCGUCCCAGUUCGGAUUGUUCUCUGCAACUCGAGAGCAUGAAGGCGGAAUCGCUAGUAAUCGC